AUUCGCUAGUAAUCGCGCAUCAGCCAUGGCGCGGUGAAUACGUUCCCGGGCCUUGUACACACCGCCCGUCAAGCCAUGGGAGCCGGGGGCGCCUGAAGUCCGGGACCGCGAGGACCGGCCUAAGGCGAAACUGGUGACUGGGGCUAAGUCGUAACAAGGUAUC
RNAcentral lists this ribosomal RNA (163 nucleotides) under uncultured bacterium. Its description in RNAcentral is "partial 16S ribosomal RNA". It matches the Rfam family "Bacterial small subunit ribosomal RNA", at positions 1330 to 1500 of the family's 1533-position model. The record is from RNAcentral.